AUUUUUUACAUGAUUUGAGUUCAGACCGGUUUAAGCCAGGUCGGUUUCUAUCUUUUAUUGAAAUAAAGUUUUUUUAGUACGAAAGGACCAAACAAUUUUAAUAGUU
RNAcentral lists this ribosomal RNA (106 nucleotides) under Longipodacrangonyx sp. 1 MDMBR-2012. Its description in RNAcentral is "16S ribosomal RNA". The record is from RNAcentral. Lineage: Eukaryota; Metazoa; Arthropoda; Malacostraca; Amphipoda; Metacrangonyctidae.